UACGGAGGGUGCAAGCGUUAUCCGGAUUCACUGGGUUUAAAGGGUGCGUAGGCGGGUUGGUAAGUCCGUGGUGAAAUCCCCGGGCUCAACCCGGGAACUGCGUCCGAUACUGGCAGGCUUGAAUCCGGGAGAGGGAUGUGGAAUUCCAGGUGUAGCGGUGAAAUGCGUAGAUAUCGAGAGGAACACCUGCGGCGAAGGCGGGUUGCUGGGCUGACACUGACGCUGAUGCGCGAAAGCCAGGGGAGCGAACGGG
RNAcentral lists this ribosomal RNA (253 nucleotides) under uncultured bacterium. RNAcentral describes it as "partial 16S ribosomal RNA". It matches the Rfam family "Bacterial small subunit ribosomal RNA", at positions 524 to 776 of the family's 1533-position model. The record is from RNAcentral.